RNAcentral lists this ribosomal RNA (254 nucleotides) under uncultured bacterium. Its description in RNAcentral is "partial 16S ribosomal RNA". It matches the Rfam family "Bacterial small subunit ribosomal RNA", at positions 524 to 776 of the family's 1533-position model. The record is from RNAcentral.
UACGUAGGGUGCUAGCGUUGUCCGGAUUUAUUGGGCGUAAAGGGCUCGUAGGCGGCGUGUCGCGUCGGGAGUGAAAGCCCGCUGCUUAACGGCGGGUUGGCUUCCGGUACGGGCAUCGCUGGAGUGCGGCAGGGGAGACUGGAAUUCCUGGUGUAGCGGUGGAAUUCGUAGAUAUUAGGAAGAACACCAGUGGCGAAGGCGGCUUACUGGUCCGGAACUGACGCUGAGGUGCGAAAGCGUGGGGAGCAAACAGG